RNAcentral lists this ribosomal RNA (252 nucleotides) under uncultured bacterium. RNAcentral describes it as "partial 16S ribosomal RNA". It matches the Rfam family "Bacterial small subunit ribosomal RNA", at positions 526 to 776 of the family's 1533-position model. The record is from RNAcentral.
CGUAGGGCGCAAGCGUUGUCCGGAUUUAUUGGGCGUAAAGAGCUCGUAGGCGGCUCAGUAAGUCAGGUGUGAAACCUCCAGGCUCAACCUGGAGACGCCACCUGAUACUGCUGUGGCUAGAGUCCGGUAGGGGAGCGUGGAAUUCCUGGUGUAGCGGUGAAAUGCGCAGAUAUCAGGAGGAACACCAGCGGCGAAGGCGGCGCUCUGGGCCGGAACUGACGCUGAGGAGCGAAAGCGUGGGUAGCAAACAGG